GACGAACGCUGGCGGCGUGCUUAACACAUGCCAGUCGAACGGUGAAGCCCCAGCUUGCUGGAGUGGAUCAGUGGCGCACGGGUGAGUAACACGUGAGCAACCUGCCCCAGACUCUGGAAUAAGCGCUGGAAACGGCGUCUAAUACUGGAUAAGAGAUCACGCCGCGGGGUGGUGGUGUGGAAAUUUUUUCGGUUGGGGAUGGUCUCGCGGCCUAUCAGCUUGUUGGUGAGGUUGUGGCUCACCAAGGCUGCGACGGGUAGCCGGCCCGAGAGGGCGACCGGCCACACUGGGACUGAGACACGGCCCAGACUCCUACGGGAGGCAGCAGUGGGGAAUAUUGCACAAUGGGCGAAAGCCUGAUGCAGCGACGCCGCGUGCGGGAUGACGGCCUUCGGGUUGUAAACCUCUUUCGGCAGGGAAGAAGCGAAAGGGACGGUACCUGCAGAAGAAGCACCGGCUAACUACGUG
Molecule: ribosomal RNA, 468 nt
Filed under: uncultured bacterium
Lineage: Bacteria
Description: partial 16S ribosomal RNA
Rfam family: Bacterial small subunit ribosomal RNA
Source: RNAcentral